AGCUGGUCCGAUGGUAGUGGGUUAUCAGAACUUAAUAACAUUAGUGUCACUAAAGUUGAUAUACAACUUGCACUGCUAAAUUUAACUGGCUUUUA
Cercocebus atys (sooty mangabey) is the source of this 95-nucleotide unclassified non-coding RNA. It matches the Rfam family "Y RNA". Rfam says of the family: Y RNAs are components of the Ro ribonucleoprotein particle (Ro RNP), in association with Ro60 and La proteins. The Y RNAs and Ro60 and La proteins are well conserved, but the function of the Ro RNP is not known. Lineage: Eukaryota; Metazoa; Chordata; Mammalia; Primates; Cercopithecidae. The record is from Ensembl.